This 301-nucleotide ribosomal RNA is filed under the name uncultured bacterium. RNAcentral's name for it is "partial 16S ribosomal RNA". It matches the Rfam family "Bacterial small subunit ribosomal RNA", at positions 509 to 807 of the family's 1533-position model. The record is from RNAcentral.
CAGUAGCCGCGGGAAUACGAAGGGUGCAAGCGUUACUCGGAAUUACUGGGCGUAAAGCGUGCGUAGGUGGUGGUUUAAGUCCGUUGUGAAAGCCCUGGGCUCAACCUGGGAAUUGCAGCGGAUACUGGAUCACUAGAGUGUGGUAGAGGAUAGUGGAAUUUCCGGUGUAGCAGUGAAAUGCGUAGAGAUCGGAAGGAACAUCUGUGGCGAAGGCGACUAUCUGGGCCAACACUGACACUGAGGCACGAAAGCGUGGGGAGCAAACAGGAUUAGAUACCCCUGUAGUCCCUGUCUCUUAUAC